ACAGAUCGUUCAGAGUUUGAUCCUGGCUCAGGAUGAACGCUAGCGGCAGGCUUAACACAUGCAAGUCGAGGGGCAGCAUGAGACGGAGAUUCGUCGAAGUCUUGAUGGCGACCGGCGCAAGGGUGCGUAACGCGUGAGCAACUUGCCCGUUUCUGGGGAAUAACCGGUGGAAACGCCGACUAAUACCCCAUAGUAUUGAGUUUAGGCAUCUUUACUCAAUUAAAGAAUUUCGGAAACGGAUAGGCUCGCGUGACAUUAGCUUGAUGGCGGGGUAACGGCCCACCAUGGCAACGAUGUCUAGGGGUUCUGAGAGGAAGGUCCCCCACACUGGAACUGAGACACGGUCCAG
RNAcentral lists this ribosomal RNA (349 nucleotides) under uncultured bacterium. Its description in RNAcentral is "bacterial SSU rRNA". It matches the Rfam family "Bacterial small subunit ribosomal RNA", at positions 1 to 334 of the family's 1533-position model. The record is from RNAcentral.